GCCAGGCAUGGUGGCCCACACCUGUGAUCCCAGCAACUUGGGAGGCUAAGGCAGGAGGAUUGCAAGUUCAAGGCCAGCCUCAGCAACUUAGUGAGAUCCUGUCUCAA
RNAcentral lists this small RNA (107 nucleotides) under Marmota monax (woodchuck). The record is from RNAcentral. Lineage: Eukaryota; Metazoa; Chordata; Mammalia; Rodentia; Sciuridae.